UUUGCGUUUUGGUUUAGUGGCGAAACGGGGGAGUAAACACGUGAAUAACCUACCUCCGAGCGGGGGACAACAUUUGGAAACAGAUGCUAAUACCGCAUAAGACCACAGUACCGCAUGGUACAGUGGCCAAAGCAGCAAUGCACUUGGAGAUGGAUUCGCGCCUGAUUAGCUAGAUGGUGGGGUAACGGCCUACCAUGGCAACGAUCAGUAGCCGGACUGAGAGGUUGAACGGCCACAUUGGGACUGAGACACGGCCCAGACUCCUACGGGAGGCAGCAGUGGGGAAUAUUGCACAAUGGAGGAAACUCUGAUGCAGCGACGCCGCGUGAGGGAAGAAGGUUUUCGGAUUGUAAACCUCUGUCUUCGGGGAAGAAAAAAAUGACGGUACCCGAGGAGGAAGCCACGGCUAACUACGUGCCAGCAGCCGCGGUAAAACGUAGGUGGCAAGCGUUGUCCGGAAUUACUGGGUGUAAAGGGAGCGCAGGCGGGCUGGUAAGUUGAAUGUGAAAACUAUGGGCUCAACCCAUAGAUUGCGUUCAAAACUACUGGUCUUGAGUGAUGGAGAGGCAGGCGGAAUUCCCGGUGUAGCGGUGGAAUGCGUAGAUAUCGGGAGGAACACCAGUGGCGAAGGCGGCCUGCUGGACAUCAACUGACGCUGAGGCUCGAAAGCAUGGGUAGCAAACAGGAUUAGAUACCCUGGUAGUCCAUGCCGUAAACGAUGAUUACUAGGUGUGGGGGGAUAGACCCCCUCCGUGCCGCAGCUAACGCAAU
RNAcentral lists this ribosomal RNA (771 nucleotides) under uncultured bacterium. RNAcentral describes it as "bacterial SSU rRNA". It matches the Rfam family "Bacterial small subunit ribosomal RNA", at positions 79 to 861 of the family's 1533-position model. The record is from RNAcentral.